This 248-nucleotide ribosomal RNA is filed under the name uncultured Gardnerella sp. RNAcentral's name for it is "partial 16S ribosomal RNA". It matches the Rfam family "Bacterial small subunit ribosomal RNA", at positions 107 to 356 of the family's 1533-position model. The record is from RNAcentral. Lineage: Bacteria; Bacillati; Actinomycetota; Actinomycetes; Bifidobacteriales; Bifidobacteriaceae.
UGAGUAAUGCGUGACCAACCUGCCCCAUGCUCCAGAAUAGCUCUUGGAAACGGGUGGUAAUGCUGGAUGCUCCAACUUGACGCAUGUCUUGGUGGGAAAGUGUUUAGUGGCAUGGGAUGGGGUCGCGUCCUAUCAGCUUGUAGGCGGGGUAAUGGCCCACCUAGGCUUCGACGGGUAGCCGGCCUGAGAGGGCGGACGGCCACAUUGGGACUGAGAUACGGCCCAGACUCCUACGGGAGGCAGCAGCG